Molecule: unclassified non-coding RNA, 253 nt
Filed under: uncultured Hymenobacteraceae bacterium
Lineage: Bacteria; Pseudomonadati; Bacteroidota; Cytophagia; Cytophagales; Hymenobacteraceae
Description: contains 16S-23S intergenic spacer region
Rfam family: Bacterial small subunit ribosomal RNA
Source: RNAcentral
UACGGAGGGUGCAAGCGUUGUCCGGAUUUAUUGGGUUUAAAGGGUGCGUAGGCGGCCAAUUAAGUCAGGGGUGAAAUCCCGGGGCUCAACCCCGGAACCGCCUUUGAUACUGGUUGGCUUGAGUUCGGUAGAGGCGGGCGGAACUGGUGGUGUAGCGGUGAAAUGCUUAGAUACCACCAAGAACCCCGAUUGCGUAGGCAGCUCGCUUGGCCGAAACUGACGCUGAGGUGCGAAAGUGUGGGGAGCAAACAGG